GAGUUUGAUUAUGGCUCAGGAUGAACGCUGGCGGCGUGCCUAACACAUGCAAGUCGAGCGCGGUUGUGCUUAGUAUUGAGUGUUUUAUUGAUAUAAAACAUUGAAUUCUAUGCACAACUGAGCGGCGGACGGGUGAGUAACGCGUGGGUAACCUGCCCUAUACACAUGGAUAACAUACUGAAAAGUUUACUAAUACAUGAUAAAAUAGUUUUUCGGCAUCGAAGAAUUAUCAAAGUGUUAGCGGUAUAGGAUGGACCCGCGUCUGAUUAGCUAGUUGGUGAGAUAACUGCCCACCAAGGCGACGAUCAGUAGCCGACCUGAGAGGGUGAUCGGCCACAUUGGAACUGAGACACGGUCCAAACUCCUACGGGAGGCAGCAGUGGGGAAUAUUGCACAAUGGGCGCAAGCCUGAUGCAGCAACGCCGCGUGAACGAUGAAGGUCUUCGGAUUGUAAAGUUCUGUUGCAGGGGAAGAUAAUGACG
This 482-nucleotide ribosomal RNA is filed under the name Peptostreptococcus sp. canine oral taxon 033. RNAcentral describes it as "bacterial SSU rRNA". It matches the Rfam family "Bacterial small subunit ribosomal RNA", at positions 9 to 456 of the family's 1533-position model. Lineage: Bacteria; Bacillati; Bacillota; Clostridia; Peptostreptococcales; Peptostreptococcaceae. The record is from RNAcentral.